GAUGAACGCUGGCGGCGUGCUUAACACAUGCAAGUCGAACGAAGCACCUCUCCCGAAGAUUGACACAGCUUGCUGUAGAUAGAUUCAUUUGAGGUGACUGAGUGGCGGACGGGUGAGUAACGCGUGGGUAACCUGCCUCAUAGAGGGGGACAACAGUUGGAAACGACUGCUAAUACCGCAUAGUAAGAAGAAUUCGCAUGUUUUCUUCUUGAAAGAUUUAUCGCUAUGAGAUGGACCCGCGUCUGAUUAGCUAGUUGGUAAGGUAGCGGCUUACCAAGGCGGGGAGGCGUGGCCGGGAUGGGAGAGUGACAGGUCAGAUUGGGAAUGAGACCCGGACCAAUAUGGUAGGGGGGGCAGGGGUGGGGAAUACUGUGCGAUGGGGGAAGACCUGAUGCAGCGGCGCGGCGGAAGUGAAGAAGUAUUUCGGUAUGUAAAGCCCUAUGAGCAGGGAAGAUAGUGACGGUACCUGACGAAGAAGCCCCGGCUAACUACGUG
RNAcentral lists this ribosomal RNA (495 nucleotides) under uncultured bacterium. Its description in RNAcentral is "partial 16S ribosomal RNA". It matches the Rfam family "Bacterial small subunit ribosomal RNA", at positions 28 to 507 of the family's 1533-position model. The record is from RNAcentral.